ACUCCUACGGGAGGCAGCAGUGGGAAGUAUUGGACAAUGGGCGAAAGCCUGAUCCAGCCAUGCCGCGUGUGUGAAGAAGGCCUUUUGGUUGUAAAGCACUUUAAAGCGAGGAGGAGGCUACUUGGAUUAAUACUCUAGGAUAGUGGACGUUACUCGCAGAAUAAGCACCGGCUAACUCUGUGCCAGCAGCCGCGGUAAUACAGAGGGGUGCGAGCGUUAAUCGGAUUUACUGGGCGUAAAGCGUGCGUAGGCGGCUUUUUAAGUCGGAUGUGAAAUCCCUGAGCUUAACUUAGGAAUUGCAUUCGAUACUGGGAAGCUAGAGUAUGGGAGAGGAUGGUAGAAUUCCAGGUGUAGCGGUGAAAUGCGUAGAGAUCUGGAGGAAUACCGAUGGCGAAGGCAGCCAUCUGGCCUAAUACUGACGCUGAGGUACGAAAGCAUGGGGAGCAAACAGGAUUAGAUACCCUGGUAGGAUAGCG
Molecule: ribosomal RNA, 476 nt
Filed under: uncultured bacterium
Lineage: Bacteria
Description: bacterial SSU rRNA
Rfam family: Bacterial small subunit ribosomal RNA
Source: RNAcentral